This 253-nucleotide ribosomal RNA is filed under the name uncultured bacterium. Its description in RNAcentral is "partial 16S ribosomal RNA". It matches the Rfam family "Bacterial small subunit ribosomal RNA", at positions 524 to 776 of the family's 1533-position model. The record is from RNAcentral.
UACGGGGGGGGCAAGCGUUGUUCGGAAUUACUGGGCGUAAAGGGCUCGUAGGCGGCCAACUAAGUCAGACGUGAAAUCCCUAGGCUCAACCUAGGAACUGCGUCUGAUACUGGAUGGCUUGAAUCCGGGAGAGGGAUGCAGAAUUCCAGGUGUAGCGGUGAAAUGCGUAGAUAUCUGGAGGAACACCGGUGGCGAAGGCGGCAUCCUGGACCGAUACUGACGCUGAGGAGCGAAAGCCAGGGGAGCAAACGGG